This 476-nucleotide ribosomal RNA is filed under the name uncultured bacterium. RNAcentral describes it as "partial 16S ribosomal RNA". It matches the Rfam family "Bacterial small subunit ribosomal RNA", at positions 30 to 507 of the family's 1533-position model. The record is from RNAcentral.
UGACCGCUGGCGGCGUGCCUACCACAUGCACGUCGCACGGAGUCCAGCCUUUAAGACCUUCGGGUCAAAGAGGGGAAGACUGAGUGGCGGACGGGUGAGUAACACGUGGGCAACCUGGCUCAUAGAGGGGGAUAACAGAGAGAAAUUUCUGCUAAUACCGCAUAAGCACACACUGCCGCAUGGCAGAGGGUGAAAAGAGAAUCGCUAUGAGAUGGACCCGCGUCUGAUUAGCCAGUUGGCAGGGUAAGAGCCUACCAAAGCGACGAUCAGUAGCCGAUCUGAGAGGAUGAACGGCCACAUUGGGACUGAGACACGGCCCAAACUCCUACGGGAGGCAGCAGUGGGGGAUAUUGCACAGUGGGGGGAACCCUGAUGCAGCGACGCCGCGUGAGUGAAGAAGUAUUUCGGUAUGUAAAGCUCUAUCAGCAGGGAAGAUAAUGACAGUACCUGAAGAAGAAGCCCCGGCUAACUACGUG